RNAcentral lists this ribosomal RNA (332 nucleotides) under uncultured bacterium. RNAcentral's name for it is "bacterial SSU rRNA". It matches the Rfam family "Bacterial small subunit ribosomal RNA", at positions 568 to 898 of the family's 1533-position model. The record is from RNAcentral.
CGUGUAGGCGGGGAUAUAAGUCAGAUGUGAAAUUCCGGGGCUCAACUCCGGAGCUGCAUCUGAAACUAUACCUCUUGAGUGCUGGAGAGGAAAGCGGAAUUCCUAGUGUAGCGGUGAAAUGCGUAGAGAUUAGGAGGAACACCAGUGGCGAAGGCGGCUUUCUGGGCAGUAACUGACGCUGAGGCGCGAAAGCGUGGGGAGCAAACAGGAUUAGAUACCCUGGUAGUCCACGCUGUAAACGAUGGAUACUAGGUGUAGGAGGUAUCGACCCCUUCUGUGCCGGAGUUAACACAAUAAGUAUCCCACCUGGGGAGUACGGCCGCAAGGUUGAA